UACGGAGGGUGCAAGCGUUAUCCGGAUUCACUGGGUUUAAAGGGUGCGUAGGAGGGCAGGUAAGUCAGUGGUGAAAUCUCCGAGCUUAACUUGGAAACUGCCAUUGAUACUAUCUGUCUUGAAUAUUGUGGAGGUGAGCGGAAUAUGUCAUGUAGCGGUGAAAUGCUUAGAUAUGACAUAGAACACCAAUUGCGAAGGCAGCUCGCUACACAAAUAUUGACUCUGAGGCACGAAAGCGUGGGGAUCAAACAGG
RNAcentral lists this ribosomal RNA (253 nucleotides) under uncultured bacterium. Its description in RNAcentral is "partial 16S ribosomal RNA". It matches the Rfam family "Bacterial small subunit ribosomal RNA", at positions 524 to 776 of the family's 1533-position model. The record is from RNAcentral.